RNAcentral lists this ribosomal RNA (482 nucleotides) under uncultured bacterium. Its description in RNAcentral is "partial 16S ribosomal RNA". It matches the Rfam family "Bacterial small subunit ribosomal RNA", at positions 30 to 503 of the family's 1533-position model. The record is from RNAcentral.
AUUGAACGCUGGCGGCAUGCCUUACACAUGCAAGUCGAACGGCAGCACGGGUGCUUGCACCUGGUGGCGAGUGGCGAACGGGUGAGUAAUACAUCGGAACAUGUCCUGUAGUGGGGGAUAGCCCGGCGAAAGCCGGAUUAAUACCGCAUACGAUCUACGGAUGAAAGCGGGGGACCUUCGGGCCUCGCGCUAUAGGGUUGGCCGAUGGCUGAUUAGCUAGUUGGUGGGGUAAAGGCCUACCAAGGCGACGAUCAGUAGCUGGUCUGAGAGGACGACCAGCCACACUGGGACUGAGACACGGCCCAGACUCCCACGGGAGGCAGCAGUGGGGAAUUUUGGACAAUGGGCGAAAGCCUGAUCCAGCAAUGCCGCGUGUGUGAAGAAGGCCUUCGGGUUGUAAAGCACUUUUGUCCGGAAAGAAAUCCUUGGCCCUAAUACGGUCGGGGGAUGACGGUACCGGAAGAAUAAGCACCGGCUAACUA